UAGUAGGAAAAACUUCAAAAACCCCACUGUAGUUUCGCACGUUCUUACUUUACUACCCGUUGUUUAAAGUGUAUCAAUUUGAUGCCCUAUAGUUUUUAUUUUUCUCUUUUUAUUACCAAUUUCACUUUUUUUUUUAAAAAUCAGUGACAAAGUUAAAAUUAAAGGGUACUAAAAUGAAUAUUUGAUAAACCUAGCUCGGUAUUUGAAAGUUUUCUGUAUAUAAUUUAACGAAAUAUUAACGAAAAAGCUACCGAAAAGAAAAAAAUGAAACUAUAGAGCACCAAAUUAAUACACUUUAACCUACAAGGUACUAAAGUGAGAACGUAUGAAA
RNAcentral lists this long non-coding RNA (331 nucleotides) under Ananas comosus (pineapple). RNAcentral's name for it is "long non-coding RNA (ACOM_LNC012536)". The record is from RNAcentral. Lineage: Eukaryota; Viridiplantae; Streptophyta; Magnoliopsida; Poales; Bromeliaceae.